UUUGUAGGAGAGGACACCCAGCAGAACUCAGCUGUGUACAUUGUUAUUCUAAUUGUCAUUCCUAUUAUUGUAGCAGUGCUUGCUAUAGCCAUUCUGGUGAAUAUGAAAAGAAUGUGUAUGUUAAUCUUACCACCAAUUCCAGAUCCUGCAAAGUAUAUUGGGCACUUUCUUGAGCAAGGAGGAGAAAAAGCUGGGACUAAAGCACUUAAGAAAAACCCAAUAUUCAUACAACCAGUGGAGGAAUCCCUUGACACCAUCACAGUCGAUUCACCUUUUCUUCCCGAACAGCAAAAGAAGAAUGGAAGUGUCCUAGAUUGUUAAUUCCCAUGGACCACUGCAGUGGAUGAAGACUAUCCUUACACCAUCUGAAGAGAGGAUCCAUUAUAUUGCAUUAUUGCCCAUGUCUCAGUUUCAAAGAACUGAUCUUUUGCAAAACUUGGCAUAUGUUUGAUGGGUUGAGUAACUUUGGAUGGCUUAUAUUACACAGCUUAGCUGCAAAAGUGGAAUAUUGUAUGUACUGUUGUAUGUACUUAAAUGUAGGCAGUUCAUCUGAUUGCAUUGUUUCCGGUGCGUUACAUAAUAUAUGCAGUUAUGUGGCCACCAACCAUGGUGACCCUCUAAACAUGUUAAAUAUGCAAGUUAAAAGAAAAUGGAAGGAGGCUUAUGGCAGGGAGGUCAUUGUAUUCCCACAUGAGGAGAAGUAAGGGUGCAGUAGGAUUACACUUACGAUCUUUUUUUUUUUUUUGGAAAAUGCAUUUAUUUUUUGCUUUGAUAUGUGAUAGAAUGUAAAUUCCUGGUAUGUUUACUAUUAAUUUAUGAAUUUUGUUCAGUGACUUGAUUUUUCAGGUCAGGUUGACUAAAUGGGUUUUUGCUUAAGCCUGUUAUUUCAGGCAUUUUAUUUUCAAUACUGAAAAGUUGGACCAGAGAUGGAUCAUGGUCAAAUGGGGUGCUAGGCAUGGUAAUGGAUUGGACCCCUCCCCCCAGCAUUCAUUCCAGUGUCCCAUUACUUGCCUAGUUCUCCCCAGUCACCAUAAAUACUGUUCAAACCUCUCAGUGUGCAUACUGUUUUGCUUUACUUCUCAUUUGAUUACAGAUAUUUGUAUUUAGUUUAGAAUUCUAUAAAUUUUAGUUUAGUUUUAAGUAAACAUUUUAUAAAGUUUAAAACUUUUAUAGCACUAACACUGAUGGACAUUUGCUAAACAAACCAAUACAGUCUCAAAACAAAAACAAACUUGGCAUUAACUGUGAACUU
Molecule: long non-coding RNA, 1252 nt
Organism: Protopterus annectens (West African lungfish)
Lineage: Eukaryota; Metazoa; Chordata; Ceratodontiformes; Protopteridae
Exons: 3
Source: RefSeq, a predicted model, not a curated record